RNAcentral lists this unclassified non-coding RNA (832 nucleotides) under Hevea brasiliensis (rubber tree). The record is from RNAcentral. Lineage: Eukaryota; Viridiplantae; Streptophyta; Magnoliopsida; Malpighiales; Euphorbiaceae.
AGAGAGAGAGAGAGAGAGAGAAUUGAAUUGCCCUUGUAAUGCCUUUAUUUCAAUGUAGUGAAAUUACUGUCCAUCAGAUGAUUGUUGAUUUUUGCCAAUAGCUAAUGUGGUUUUUUGAAAAUGUAACCCUAAACCAACAGAAUGGAGGAAAUGGAUCCAUAUAACGAAUCCUAACUAGAUGGGGAUUGAGGCCGAGUAAGGUAGCUAAACAUCCUAUUUAUUUAGUUCUUCCCCCACUUUGGGCAUUGUACAUGCAAUCCAUCAGCUGCUACUCUAUUAAUUUUGCCAAGUACUCCUGUGAGGCUUGAAGCAAUCAUCUAUUUUCCCUUCGAUUAUACUUGAUAGCGUGAUUUAUAUCCACCCACACGCCAGGAUAGAUUGAUUUACAUCUAUGCUCAAAUAAUUAUAGUAAUUUUCAUUCCUUACAAUAUUUUUAGUGGUUAGUGCAAGUGUUUAGUCAUCUUGGUCUCAAUGCCAUUUUUUGUUGAAAAGUUCUUGGUAUAGACAAUUUCUACAUUCUUUUGGUAUAUAUAUACAGUUGGAAAGGGUGAAAAUUGCUUAGUUAAUCGAUGCCACAUGUCUUUUCACUUAUGACUUUGGCAUGGGGCAUCCAAAUAAUUUAGCCAUUGCCAACUGUAUACCUACAUUGAAAAUGAAUAGACAUUAUCUACAUAUAGUAGUGCUUUUUUUUGUCCCCCUUUUAUCAUUGGAGAAUGUCUCAAAUUACCUUGCUUUGUGAUAAUCAUUAUGUGGCUUUGAUCUCUUCAUCAGCUUGUCUUGGGCAUCUGCUAACACGAAUUUGGUGAUGCAGGAGCAAGAUAAGGUGACAAUA